This is a non-coding RNA of Podarcis lilfordi (Lilford's wall lizard), 79 nucleotides long. Lineage: Eukaryota; Metazoa; Chordata; Lepidosauria; Squamata; Lacertidae. The record is from the annotation of a GenBank genome assembly.
UGUGUGUGUGUGUGUGUGUGUGUGUGUGUGUGUGUGUAUAUAUAUACAUAUAUAUACACAUGCAUACAUUAUAUAUAAU